This 503-nucleotide ribosomal RNA is filed under the name uncultured bacterium. Its description in RNAcentral is "partial 16S ribosomal RNA". It matches the Rfam family "Bacterial small subunit ribosomal RNA", at positions 30 to 523 of the family's 1533-position model. The record is from RNAcentral.
AUUGAACGCUGGCGGCAGGCUUAACACAUGCAAGUCGAGCGGGGUGAUGGUGCUUGCACUAUCACUUAGCGGCGGACGGGUGAGUAAUGCUUAGGAAUCUGCCUAUUAGUGGGGGACAACAUCUCGAAAGGGAUGCUAAUACCGCAUACGUCCUACGGGAGAAAGCAGGGGAUCACUUGUGACCUUGCGCUAAUAGAUGAGCCUAAGUCGGAUUAGCUAGUUGGUGGGGUAAAGGCCUUCCAAGGCGACGAUCUGUAGCGGGUCUGAGAGGACGAUCCGCCACACUGGGACUGAGACACGGCCCAGACUCCUACGGGAGGCAGCAGUGGGGAAUAUUGGACAAUGGGGGGAACCCUGAUCCAGCCAUGCCGCGUGUGUGAAGAAGGCCUUAUGGUUGUAAAGCACUUUAAGCGAGGAGGAGGCUACUUUAGUUAAUACCCAAGAUGAGUGGACGUUACUCGCAGAAUAAGCACCGGCUAACUCUGUGCCAGCCGCCGCCGUAA